AUUGAACGCUGGCGGCAGGCCUAACACAUGCCAGUCGAGCGGAUGAAGGGAGCUUGCUCCUGGAUUCAACGGCCGACGGGUGAGUAAUUCCUAGGAAUCUGCCUGGUCGUGGGGGAUAACGCCCGGAAACGGGCGCUAAUACCGCAUACGUCCACAGGGAUAAACAGAGGGAUCUUGUGACCUCACGCUAUCAGAUGAACCUAGGUGGGAUUAGCUAGUUGGUUGGGUAAAGGCCUACCAAGGCGACGAUCAGUAACUGGCCACAGAGGAUGACUGGUCAAACUGGAAUGGGGAAACGGUCCAGACUCCUACGGGAGGAAGCAGUGGGGAAUAUUGGCCAAUGGGCGAAAGCCUGCUCCAGCCAUGCCGCGUGGGGGAAGAAGGUCUUCGGAUUGUAAAGCACUUUAAGUUGGGAGGAAGGGCAGUAAGUUAAUACCUUGCUGUUUUGACGUUACCAACAGAAUAAGCAACGGCUAACUUCGUG
This 484-nucleotide ribosomal RNA is filed under the name uncultured bacterium. RNAcentral's name for it is "partial 16S ribosomal RNA". It matches the Rfam family "Bacterial small subunit ribosomal RNA", at positions 30 to 507 of the family's 1533-position model. The record is from RNAcentral.